UACGUAGGGUGCGAGCGUUGUCCGGAAUUAUUGGGCGUAAAGGGCUCGUAGGCGGUCCAUCGCGUCGGGAGUGAAAAGCUGGGGCUUAACCCCAGUCCUGCUUUCGAUACGGGUGGACUAGAGGUAUGCAGGGGAGAAUGGAAUUCCUGGUGUAGCGGUGAAAUGCGCAGAUAUCAGGAGGAACACCGAUGGCGAAGGCAGCUCGCUGGGACGGUACUGACGCUGAGACGCGAAAGCGUGGGGAGCAAACAGG
Molecule: ribosomal RNA, 253 nt
Filed under: uncultured bacterium
Lineage: Bacteria
Description: partial 16S ribosomal RNA
Rfam family: Bacterial small subunit ribosomal RNA
Source: RNAcentral